RNAcentral lists this ribosomal RNA (470 nucleotides) under uncultured Lutispora sp. Its description in RNAcentral is "bacterial SSU rRNA". It matches the Rfam family "Bacterial small subunit ribosomal RNA", at positions 28 to 507 of the family's 1533-position model. The record is from RNAcentral. Lineage: Bacteria; Bacillati; Bacillota; Clostridia; Lutisporales; Lutisporaceae.
GACGAACGCUGGCGGCGUGCCUAACACAUGCAAGUCGAGCGGGAGGUAAGCUGAUGGUAACUGAAGCUUACUUUAGCGGCGGACGGGUGAGUAACACGUGGGCAACCUGCCUCGAAGUGGGGGAUAACACCGAGAAAUCGGUGCUAAUACCGCAUAACAUACAGACAUCACCUGAUGACUGUAUCAAAGGAGUAAUCCGCUUUGAGAUGGGCCCGCGGCUGAUUAGCUAGUUGGUGAGGUAAUGGCUCACCAAGGCGACGAUCAGUAGCCGACCUGAGAGGGUGACCGGCCACACUGGAACUGAGACACGGUCCAGACUCCUACGGGAGGCAGCAGUGGGGAAUAUUGCGCAAUGGGGAAACCCUGACGCAGCAACGCCGCGUGGAGGAAGAAGGUCUUCGGAUUGUAAACUCCUGUCUUCUGGGACGAUAAUGACGGUACCAGAGGAGGAAGCCACGGCUAACUACGUG